Molecule: long non-coding RNA, 140 nt
Organism: Cyprinodon tularosa
Lineage: Eukaryota; Metazoa; Chordata; Actinopteri; Cyprinodontiformes; Cyprinodontidae
Exons: 2
Source: RefSeq, a predicted model, not a curated record
AAAUCCUUCUCCAGAACCAACAGUUGCUCUCCCAAAGAGAACCUCAAGAACCCUCAAGACUCCGGUGAAACCAGAAUCCAGGCCCGAACCAGCCUUCUGCAUAUUCAGUGUGAUUGUGCAGAUAAACUUGUUAAACUUUU